GGAAGUGUGAAGGUUAUCAUGCCAUCUUUGAACGGGCCAGAGUCUGGGUGAAGGAAGGAGGAGGAACAAAUGAGAAGCUCAGCUUCCUUGCAGGGGGCAGAUUCGACGUCAGGUACAGUGCCUUACAGAGAUUUUUGGUGGAUGAAUAAAAUACUGCAGAUUUUUAAAUACAGAGAUGGUGUCAAAGCUCCAGGAAAUUGCAUUCAGAAAGGAAUCCUGUAUGUUGACUUCUUGUGAAAACUAAUGAAAGGAAACCAGUUUAGUUCAGGUUAUGGUUGAGUUUAAAACAGAGGAGGGAGGCCAGCAGGGGGAGCUCUCACAGCCCCAACAGGAAGACCUACACCUUACCAAGUCCAAUACUACUUUAGCUACUAGUUUACUGCCCCAGCAGGAGGAGGAAAGGUCUCCUCCUCUCCUGGCAACAGCCCCGCCAAUGACAGUCACAGCUCAGCCAAUCAGGAGGCACUACACUUCGAACUCCCAGUUUACUCCAAUGGACUUCCGGAUUAUAACAGCUCUCCCAUCUUCCCCCUUCCCUCUGGAAAGGAGCUACCUACCUCCCUUUUGCUCCCCGGACUUGCCUCUGGCCUUGCCUGUAGUUUUGCCACAGCUUGCACGUCCUGGGAUUGCAAUUCUCUGCUAUUUCCAAAUAAACCCGUUUUUGCUGGUAAAA
Molecule: long non-coding RNA, 673 nt
Organism: Neofelis nebulosa (Clouded leopard)
Lineage: Eukaryota; Metazoa; Chordata; Mammalia; Carnivora; Felidae
Exons: 2
Source: RefSeq, a predicted model, not a curated record